RNAcentral lists this ribosomal RNA (1001 nucleotides) under Vibrio neocaledonicus. Its description in RNAcentral is "bacterial SSU rRNA". It matches the Rfam family "Bacterial small subunit ribosomal RNA", at positions 55 to 1043 of the family's 1533-position model. The record is from RNAcentral. Lineage: Bacteria; Pseudomonadati; Pseudomonadota; Gammaproteobacteria; Vibrionales; Vibrionaceae.
AUGCGGGAUACGAGUUAUCUGAACCUUCGGGGAACGAUAACGGCGUCGAGCGGCGGACGGGUGAGUAAUGCCUAGGAAAUUGCCCUGAUGUGGGGGAUAACCAUUGGAAACGAUGGCUAAUACCGCAUGAUGCCUACGGGCCAAAGAGGGGGACCUUCGGGCCUCUCGCGUCAGGAUAUGCCUAGGUGGGAUUAGCUAGUUGGUGAGGUAAGGGCUCACCAAGGCGACGAUCCCUAGCUGGUCUGAGAGGAUGAUCAGCCACACUGGAACUGAGACACGGUCCAGACUCCUACGGGAGGCAGCAGUGGGGAAUAUUGCACAAUGGGCGCAAGCCUGAUGCAGCCAUGCCGCGUGUAUGAAGAAGGCCUUCGGGUUGUAAAGUACUUUCAGUCGUGAGGAAGGCGGCGUCGUUAAUAGCGGCGUUGUUUGACGUUAGCGACAGAAGAAGCACCGGCUAACUCCGUGCCAGCAGCCGCGGUAAUACGGAGGGUGCGAGCGUUAAUCGGAAUUACUGGGCGUAAAGCGCAUGCAGGUGGUUUGUUAAGUCAGAUGUGAAAGCCCGGGGCUCAACCUCGGAAUAGCAUUUGAAACUGGCAGACUAGAGUACUGUAGAGGGGGGUAGAAUUUCAGGUGUAGCGGUGAAAUGCGUAGAGAUCUGAAGGAAUACCGGUGGCGAAGGCGGCCCCCUGGACAGAUACUGACACUCAGAUGCGAAAGCGUGGGGAGCAAACAGGAUUAGAUACCCUGGUAGUCCACGCCGUAAACGAUGUCUACUUGGAGGUUGUGGCCUUGAGCCGUGGCUUUCGGAGCUAACGCGUUAAGUAGACCGCCUGGGGAGUACGGUCGCAAGAUUAAAACUCAAAUGAAUUGACGGGGGCCCGCACAAGCGGUGGAGCAUGUGGUUUAAUUCUAUGCAACGCGAAGAACCUUACCUACUCUUGACAUCCAGAGAACUUUCCCAAAAUGGAUUGGUGCCCUCCGGAACUCUUAAAAAAGUGCUG